This 324-nucleotide unclassified non-coding RNA is filed under the name Hevea brasiliensis (rubber tree). Lineage: Eukaryota; Viridiplantae; Streptophyta; Magnoliopsida; Malpighiales; Euphorbiaceae. The record is from RNAcentral.
GGCCAGGCCAACUCCAUUAUCACUUUCAAAGGCUAAGGAAGGGAGUACAUAAUACAAGAAAUUAAAUAAUAAUAGCAACAAAUGAUCUCUUUAAAUUAUAGAUGCAUGACAUGCCAAGCAUUUUGAUGAAACCAUAUUGUGAAGACACCUACCAACACAUUUAUCCAAAACUGUUGCUAAUGAUCCAAACUUCAGAAGUCCAAACUGAACUAUAACUAGGAAAAAUUCAGCUGUACAACUUAUUCAGCAAUCACUUUUAUCACCAAUAAAACAGUGAAGUUUUGAGAAUCACAAACUCUCACUUCCCAUCCCCUCCAAGAGAAG